CCUACGGGGGGCAGCAGUGAGGAAUAUUGGUCAAUGGUCGGGAGACUGAACCAGCCAAGCCGCGUGAGGGAUGAAGGUACAGAGUAUCGUAAACCUCUUUUGUCAGGGAACAAAGGCGGGGACGUGUCCCCGGCUGAGUGUACCUGAAGAAAAAGCAUCGGCUAACUCCGUGCCAGCAGCCGCGGUAAUACGGAGGAUGCGAGCGUUAUCCGGAUUUAUUGGGUUUAAAGGGUGCGCAGGCGGUCUGUUAAGUCAGCGGUCAAAGCACGGGGCUCAACCCCGGCCCGCCGUUGAAACUGGCAGUCUCGAGUUGGAGAGAGGUAUGCGGAAGGCGCGGUGUAGCGGUGAAAUGCAUAGAUAUCGCGAAGAACUCCGAUUGCGAAGGCAGCAUGCCGGCUCCACACUGACGCUGAGGCACGAAGGCGUGGGUAUCGAACAGGAUUAGAUACCCGUGUAGUC
RNAcentral lists this ribosomal RNA (459 nucleotides) under uncultured bacterium. RNAcentral's name for it is "partial 16S ribosomal RNA". It matches the Rfam family "Bacterial small subunit ribosomal RNA", at positions 338 to 795 of the family's 1533-position model. The record is from RNAcentral.